CCCACAACCACUUCUGCUUUUUCUCUCCCCAACUCCAGUGUUGUUUCUUUCCGAAUACUUCCACGCUUUCUCUGCCAAAACAUCUUAAACCCUAGAAACGCUUCCUAGUUUCCGUUUCAGUUUCCAGAUCUGAACCGUUUUCCAGGAAGUUCCGUUCAAGCUCGAAUUUUCCGUCGAACGAACCUGCAUUUUGCGGUAGAUCCGAAUCUGAGUAUGAUCUUUCUGGUUGAGGAAUUCGUGUUGAAGUUGUGAAAAACUUCGGAUUGUUUCUCCCAGUUGCUCAGAACAAGUUAAAGUCUCUUUCAAUGGCAAGUCAACCACGGUUGCAGGUAUUAGCUGCUAGAAAAAAUAAAAUUUCAACACUAAAGGGUUUCCCUUAUUUACCAGUCCUUGAGGUCAGCA
Morus notabilis is the source of this 402-nucleotide long non-coding RNA. RefSeq lists it as uncharacterized. Lineage: Eukaryota; Viridiplantae; Streptophyta; Magnoliopsida; Rosales; Moraceae. The transcript has 4 exons. The record is from RefSeq and is a predicted model, not a curated record.